UUUGUCUGCUAUUGGACAAUCGUCUGCUAGUCGUAAUUUUACCCUCACCUGAAGAGUGUGAUGAACAGUAAAUUUUUAAUUUAUUAUGAUUAAAUUUCAACAACCUUUUUAAUUUUACUAUUUAACAUUUUUUUAUUUAUAAAAUAUGAAUUAUUUUUAAUAAAACAAGUACGUAAUAGUUUGUUUAUAAACAGAUUCCGAAGUUAAUUCUUUGUGUAAAAAAUAAACUUAGGAUAGUACUAUGAAAUUCAAAAGUAUAACUUCUCAACAUAUGCUUCUCUUGAAGCAAUUCAGAAAUUUUAAAACUUUUCCUGUUAGCGCAUUUUCUACAUCAGCGUUCAGAAACAGAGUGGAAAAGGCUGUGGACUUGUCUUAUUCUGUCUUCAUGCCUGAUAAUAAACUAUCAUCUUCAAUACCUGCUAUUAUUUUGCAUGGUUUGCUUGGAUCUAAGCAGAACUGGAGAAGCCUUGGGAAGGCUAUAGCAGUGAGGUCUAGUAGAAAAGUAUAUGCAUUAGAUGCCAGAAAUCAUGGAGACAGCCCUCAUUCUUAUGAAUUUAAUUAUGAAUUGAUGUCUGCAGAUGUAAAGCAUUUCAUGAAUUCUCAAGCUAUAUCAAGUGCGAUACUUAUUGGGCAUAGUAUGGGUGGAAGAACAGCUAUGCAUUUAGCUCUCACGGAGAAAUCUCUAGUCAACAAGCUAGUUGUUGUUGAUGUAUCUCCAAUUAGUAUACCCCAAGCAUUGUCAUCCUCUAUUGAUUAUAUGACAGCUAUGAAAGAGGCAAUAAAAACUGUUCCUAAAUUGGGAAUUGUUCAAGCUAGAAAAGCAAUUGAUAUUUAUUUAUCCAGAUCUAUACCUGAAAUUGGAAUUCGUCAGUUUCUUCUUACAAAUCUGCAUGAAGAAAACAAAGUCCUGAAAUGGAGAGCAAAUCUUGAGGUUUUAUCCAACUGUUAUUCUGAACUAAUGAGAUUUCCUUCAGUUUUGGGGCAUUAUUUAGAAGAUACUUUGUUUAUAUGUGGUGAAGAUUCUCCUUAUGUAAAACAGAAAAUAAAAAUAUGAAGCCUGUUUAAUUUUCUAUAGAAGCUUUGUCUGAUUCAUGUGAUCAGGAUCAGGAAAGAAUGUGAUCAGCAGCAUUAAAAGUGUGAUAGUAGUAACUGUGUUUCCUAUUAAGGAUCUAGUCUGAAAGCAAUCUGAAGAUUAUCCUCAGAUAAGAAUUUUAUUUGCAAAAGCAGAAUUUGCUGUCAUUCCAGGUGCUGGACAUUGGGUACAUAGUGAGAAACCAUCUGAGUUCUUAGAAAUAUUAUGUAAAUUU
Stegodyphus dumicola is the source of this 1307-nucleotide unclassified non-coding RNA. The record is from RefSeq and is a predicted model, not a curated record. Lineage: Eukaryota; Metazoa; Arthropoda; Arachnida; Araneae; Eresidae.